UAUAUAUAUAUAUAUAUAUAUAUAUAUAUAUAUAUUCAACCACCAAGAUCUAAGUCAGCAGACCGACGAAAACCUUUGCAAUGAACGCUUCAAGAACAGUUUUGUAAAUAGACUAUAUUUUAGAUAUAAGCUGACAGUCUAGUGGAUUCAAAUCGACUUUUACCUUCAAAGAUGUAUAUAUGUAUAUUUGUAUAUAAUAUUUGUAACUUUUGAUAUAUGUAUUUUUAUCAAAUGAAUAAAGACUUAUAACUGAGUCAAUCUUUGCUAAAAAACUGCGUGAGGUUAAUACAUCGCGUUCCCGUGGCCCUGAUGAUAUUUUGAAUUGGGUUUUAAAAACUUUUUCUGAUAUUCUUGCUUUACCAAUUGCGGACAUUAUCAAUACUUCUUUUCAAUGUUGUGAAGUUCCUCAAAUUUGGAAGCUGGCUGAUGUUGUUCC
This is a non-coding RNA of Paramuricea clavata, 436 nucleotides long. NCBI's taxonomy places the organism in Eukaryota, Metazoa, Cnidaria, Anthozoa, Malacalcyonacea, Plexauridae. The record is from the annotation of a GenBank genome assembly.